GGGUGCUUGCACCUGGUGGCGAGUGGCGAACGUGUGAGUAAUGCACCGGAACGUACCCAGUAAUGGGGGAUAACACAUCGAAAGAUGUGCUAAUACCGCAUACGCCCUGAGGGGGAAAGCGGGGGAUCGUAAGACCUCGCGUUAUUGGAGCGGCCGAUGCCGGAUUAGCUAGUUGGUGAGGUAAGAGCUCACCAAGGCGACGAUCCGUAGCUGGUCUGAGAGGACGACCAGCCACACUGGGACUGAGACACGGCCCAGACUCCUACGGGAGGCAGCAGUGGGGAAUUUUGGACAAUGGGCGCAAGCCUGAUCCAGCCAUGCCGCGUGAGUGAAGAAGGCCUUCGGGUUGUAAAGCUCUUUCGCAAGGAAAGAAAACUUAUCUACUAAUACUAGGUGAGGUUGACGGUACCUUGAUAAGAAGCACCGGCUAACUACGUGCCAGCAGCCGCGGUAAUACGUAGGGUGCGAGCGUUAAUCGGAAUUACUGGGCGUAAAGCGUGCGCAGGCGGUUUUGUAAGUCAGAUGUGAAAUCCCCGGGCUCAACCUGGGAACUGCGUUUGAAACUACAAGGCUAGAGUGUAGAAGAGGGGGGUAGAAUUCCACGUGUAGCAGUGAAAUGCGUAGAGAUGUGGAGGAAUACCGAUGGCGAAGGCAGCCCCCUGGGCUAACACUGACGCUCAUGCACGAAAGCGUGGGGAGCAAACAGGAUUAGAUACCCUGGUAGUCCACGCCCUAAACGAUGUCUACUAGUUGUUGGAGGAGUAAAAUCCUUUAGUAACGCAGCUAACGCGUGAAGUAGACCGCCUGGGGAGUACGGUCGCAAGAUUAAAACUCAAAGGAAUUGACGGGGGCCCGCACAAGCGGUGGAUUAUGUGGAUUAAUUCGAUGCAACGCGAAAAACCUUACCUGGCCUUGACAUGCCACUAACGAAGCAGAGAUGCAUUAGGUGCCCGAAAGGGAAAGUGGACACAGGUGCUGCAUGGCUGUCGUCAGCUUGUGUCGUGAGAUGUUGGGUUAAGUCCCCGCAACGAGCGCAACCCUUGCCAAUAAUUGCCAUCAUUUAGUUGGGCACUUUAUUGGGGACUGCCGGUGACAAACCGGAGGAAGGUGGGGAUGACGUCAAGUCCUCAUGGCCCUUAUGGCCAGGGCUUCACACGUAAUACAAUGGUCGGUACAGAGGGUUGCCAACCCGCGAGGGGGAGCCAAUCCCAGAAAGCCGAUCGUAGUCCGGAUUGUAGUCUGCAACUCGACUACAUGAAGUCGGAAUCGCUAGUAAUCGCGGAUCAGCAUGUCGCGGUGAAUACGUUCCCGGGCCUUGUACACACCGCCCGUCACACCAUGGGAGUGGGUUCUACCAGAAGUAGUUAGCCUAACCGUAAGGAGGGCGAUUACCACGGUAGGAUUCAUGACUGGGGUGAAGUCGUAACAAGGUAUCAAGC
Molecule: ribosomal RNA, 1439 nt
Filed under: Methylophilus sp. enrichment culture clone MWE_C44
Lineage: Bacteria; Pseudomonadati; Pseudomonadota; Betaproteobacteria; Nitrosomonadales; Methylophilaceae
Description: bacterial SSU rRNA
Rfam family: Bacterial small subunit ribosomal RNA
Source: RNAcentral